Molecule: long non-coding RNA, 1833 nt
Filed under: Zonotrichia albicollis (white-throated sparrow)
Lineage: Eukaryota; Metazoa; Chordata; Aves; Passeriformes; Passerellidae
Description: lncRNA (ENSZALG00000001884.1)
Source: RNAcentral
AUGGGAUCUGGGAUUGGGAUUUGGGAAUGGAAUCAGAAAUUGGGAUCAGGGAUUGGGAUCUGGGAAUGGGAUUUGGGAAUGGAAUCAGAAAUUGGGAUCAGGGAUUGGGAUCUGGGAUCUGGGAAUGGGAUCUGGGAAUGGGAUCAGGGAUUGGGAUCAGGGAUUGGGAUCAGGGAUUGGGAUCUGGGAUCCCCAGUGCUCCAGGCCCAGCUCUGCAACAGGAACGGGAUCAGGGAUCUGGGAUCUGGGAUUGGGAUCUGGGAUCUGGGAUUGGCAUUUGGGAUCCCCAGUGCUCCAGGCCCAGCUCUGCAACAGGAACUGGGAUCAGGGAUUGGGAUCAGGGAAUCUGGGAUUGGGAUCAGGGAUCCCCAGUGCUCCAGGCCCAGCUCUGGGAACAGAAAAUGGGAUCAGGGAAUCUGGGAAUGGGAUCAGGGAAUGGGACUUGGGAUUGGGAUCUGGGACCCCCAGUGCUCCAGGCCCAGCUCUGGAAACAGAAAAUGGGAUCAGGGAGCUGGGAAUGGGAGCUGGGAAUGGGAUUUGAGAUCUGGGAUUGGGAUCAGGGAAUGGGAUUUGGGAUCCCCAGUGCUCCAGGCCCAGCUCUGCAACAGGAAUGGGAUUUGGGAUUGGGAUCGGGGAAUGGGAUCUGGGAAUGGGAUUUGGGAUUGGGAUCAGGGAUUGGGAUCUGGGAAUGGGAUUUGGGAUUGGGAUCAGGGAUCCCCAGUGCUCCAGGCUCAGCUCUGCAACAGGAACGGGAUCAGGGAUUGGGAUCUGGAAUCUGGGAAUGGGACCAGGGAAUGGGAUUUGGGAAUGGAAUCAGGGAUUGGGAUCUGGGAAUGGGAUCUGGGAUUGGGAUCUGGGAUCCCCAGUGCUCCAGGCCCAGCUCUGGAACAGAAACUGGGAUCAGGGAUUGGGAUUUGGGAUCGGGGAAUGGGAUCAGGGAAUGGGAUCAGGGAUCCCCAGUGCUCCAGGCCCAGCUCUGGGAACAGAAAAUGGGAUCUGGGAGCUGGGAUUGGGAGCUGGGAAUGGGAUUUGAGAUCUGGGAAUGGGAUCAGGGAAUGGGAUUUGGGAUCUGGGAAUGGGAUUUGGGAUCCCCAGUGCUCCAGGCCCAAAUCUGGGAAACAGAAAUUGGGAUCUGGGAUUGGAAUUUGGGAUCUGGGAUCUGGGAAUAGGAUCUGGGAUUGGGAUCUGGGAUCUUGGAAUGGGAUCUGGGAUCUGGGAAUGGGAUUUGGGAUCCCCAGUGCUCCAGGCCCAGCUCUGGGAACAGGAACAGGAUCAGAAAUUGGGAUCUGGGACCAGGGAAUGGGAUCAGGGAUCUGGGAAGGGGAUCUGGGAAUGGGAUCUGGGAUUGGGAUUUGGGAUCGGGGAAUGGGAUCAGGGAUUGGGAUCUGGGAUCCCCAGUGCUCCAGGCCCAGCUCUGGGAACAGAAAUUGGGAUCUGGGAUGUGGGAAUGGGAUCAGGACCAGGGGUUGGGAUUGGGAUUGGCCAAUCCCUCUCCACAUUCCAGAGCCAUUCCUGGGGUUCCCAACCCUUCCCUUCCCUGGGGAUCCCUCUGUGCCCCAUUCCCAGGGAAUUCCCCCAAAUCCUGCUGGGAAUCCCCCAAACCCCAUUCCCACAGAAUUCCCCCAAAUCCUGCUGGGAAUCCCCCAAACCCCAUUCCCACAGAAUUCCCACCCCAUUCCCAGCAAAUUCCCCCAAAUCCUGCUGGGAAUCCCCCAAAUCCCAUUCCCAGGAAAUUCCUCCCAAAUCCCAUUCCCAGCAAAUUCCCACAAAUCCUGCUGGGAAUGCCCCAAAUCCCAUUCCCACAGAAUUCCCACCCCAUUCCCAGGGAGUUCC